This 544-nucleotide long non-coding RNA is filed under the name Homo sapiens (human). RNAcentral's name for it is "HSALNT0077542". Lineage: Eukaryota; Metazoa; Chordata; Mammalia; Primates; Hominidae. The record is from RNAcentral.
CUCUAGGUAUACAUGGCAAGCAGGGGCCAGAUUAUAUACACUGCCUUAAAGAUUAUGGUCUUUAUCCUCAGUGCAACAAAAUAAAGUCAUUGAAGAGUUUUAAGUAGAGGACUGACAUGAUGACAUGUUAGGUUCAGCCUUCUGAAGAAUUUGAGAAUCCAUCAUUGCACUGGAAAAUGGAACAAAAAGUCGACUUCAAAGGACCUUGCCCACAAAAGACACCAGAAUGGUGGGUCAUCUGGCAGGGCGAGGCUGGAAUAUGUGGGAGGUGAGGUAGGGGCUGAGAAGGAAUACGGAAGACAGAGCUUCUGGGUACACACCAGCCUGUGUAACGUAGGCGGGAAAGAAAUGUUUUUUACCUGCUGAACUCUGUGCUCAUGAUAGGAUUCUGAUAAGACUGUUCUUUUUGGUAAUGUUCUAUAUGUGUAUACUCUUCCAGACAUUGAGAGGCAUAACGGCAGGGUUAUAACAAUUUAGCAUUUCUGACUUUUCCUCAUGCAUAUUAUUUAUUUAACAAAUAUUUAAUGAAUAUUAUUAAAUGCGA